GAUGAAGAACGUAGCGAAAUGCGAUACUUGGUGUGAAUUGCAGAAUCCCGUGAACCAUCGAGUCUUUGAACGCAAGUUGCGCCCGAAGCCAUCAGGUUGAGGGCACGUCUGCCUGGGCGUCACAUAUCGUUGCCCAAUGCCUAUUGCAGUGCAAUAGGAAUUUCUAGGGCGAAUGAUGGCUUCCCGUGAGCGUUGUUGGCUCGCGGUUGGUUGAAAAUCGAGUCCUUGGUAGGGUGUGCCAUGGUAGAUGGUGGUUGAGUUAGAACGAUACCGAUCAUGUGCAUGCUCCCCAAAAUAUGGCCUCUAUGACCCACACGCGUCUUUUGACGCUCAUGACGAGACCUCAGGUCAGGCGGGGCUACCCGCUGAAUUUAAGCAUAUCAAUAAGCGGAGGA
RNAcentral lists this unclassified non-coding RNA (395 nucleotides) under soil metagenome. RNAcentral describes it as "partial contains 5.8S ribosomal RNA, internal transcribed spacer 2, and large subunit ribosomal RNA". The stretch from base 1 to 122 matches the Rfam family "5.8S ribosomal RNA", at positions 35 to 154 of the family's 154-position model. The record is from RNAcentral.